This 78-nucleotide transfer RNA is filed under the name Betaproteobacteria bacterium. RNAcentral describes it as "tRNA-Asp". It matches the Rfam family "tRNA". From Rfam's summary of the family: Transfer RNA (tRNA) molecules are approximately 80 nucleotides in length. Their secondary structure includes four short double-helical elements and three loops (D, anti-codon, and T loops). Lineage: Bacteria; Pseudomonadati; Pseudomonadota; Betaproteobacteria. The record is from RNAcentral.
GGGGCGUUAGCUUAGCUGGCCGAAAGCAUCUGAUUGUCGAUCAGAAGAUCGCGGGUUCAACUCCCGCACGCCUCGCCA